Molecule: long non-coding RNA, 539 nt
Organism: Manis pentadactyla (Chinese pangolin)
Lineage: Eukaryota; Metazoa; Chordata; Mammalia; Pholidota; Manidae
Exons: 3
Source: RefSeq, a predicted model, not a curated record
UGGCUGACUUCCUGAGACCUGCCACAAGGCAGGUGAUGAAUUGAUCUCAUCUGGUGACUACACCUGCCUUAUUAUAGUCCCAAUUAGAGUCUCGGUCAGGAACCCCCUCAGCACCAAUUGGAUGAGCUGGAGUAGUUUGGUGAACCUCAUCAGCAUGAGUUCUAGCCUGUUCCCAGACUCGCCUACGCUUCUUGGGCAAAAGUGUGUUGGAUAGGAUCAUGUGAAUAUCAUGAAAGACAUAACACUCAGGCUCUGAGAGGUUAAGAAACUUGCCUAAGGACACACAGCCAGUAAGAAGAGAAAAAAAUCCAAGGGAGUGCAAGGGUGGCAGCAGAGAGAGCUGUAAGGAGUUUUCAGGAUUAAGGAAUGUGUAGGGGAACGUGACACCACAGAAACACAAUCAGAGGAGUCCCCAUUGUGGAAAUCUCUGCAGGACAAAGAAUCUGGCUUUUUCAACAAAAAAAGUUGCAAGAAGAGAAAAAGAGAAGGGGAAUUUGCAGGUUAAAAAACUUGAGAGACAGAUCAGCCAUGCAAACCCU